CCUACGGGUGGCAGCAGUGAGGAAUAUUGGUCAAUGGACGAGAGUCUGAACCAGCCAAGUAGCGUGAAGGAUGACUGCCCUAUGGGUUGUAAACUUCUUUUAUCUGGGAAUAAAACGUUCCACGUGUGGGAUUUUGUAUGUACCAUAUGAAUAAGUGUCGGCUAACUCCGUGCCAGCAGCCGCGGUAAUACGGAGGAUCCGAGCGUUAUCCGAAUUUAUUGGGUUUAAAGGGAGCGUAGGUGGAUUGUUAAGUCAGUUGUGAAAGUUUGCGGCUCAACCGUAAAAUUGCAGUUGAAACUGGCAGUCUUGAGUACAGUAGAGGUGGGCGGAAUGCGUGGUGUAGCGGUGAAAUGCUUAGAUAUCACGAAGAACUCCGAUUGCGAAGGCAGUUCACUGGACUGCAACUGACACUGAGGCUCGAAAGUGUGGGUAUCAAACAGGAUUAGAUACCCCUGUAGUC
RNAcentral lists this ribosomal RNA (460 nucleotides) under uncultured bacterium. Its description in RNAcentral is "partial 16S ribosomal RNA". It matches the Rfam family "Bacterial small subunit ribosomal RNA", at positions 338 to 795 of the family's 1533-position model. The record is from RNAcentral.